RNAcentral lists this transfer RNA (65 nucleotides) under bovine gut metagenome. It matches the Rfam family "tRNA", at positions 5 to 66 of the family's 71-position model. Rfam says of the family: Transfer RNA (tRNA) molecules are approximately 80 nucleotides in length. Their secondary structure includes four short double-helical elements and three loops (D, anti-codon, and T loops). The record is from RNAcentral.
GGGUGGAGCAGUGGUAGCUCGUUGGGCUCAUAACCCAAAGGUCGUAGGUUCGAAUCCUGCCCCCG